GAAGUCAUAAUCCUCGAUUAACAGAUCUGCAGCGGAGUAAAUCAAAUAAACGAUCGAUAACCCGCCGGAUAAAACAAAUCCAGAAUGAUAGCUUUUAAAUUUCCGGAAAAAAAAAUCCGAAUUACAGAAAGAAAUUCGAAUUCUGCACAGAAACUGGAGGUGGAAGACGAAGGUAAUGGGCUUGAGCUUCAAAGUUUUGAGCUUCGAGGUCAAAAACCCUAAUUGGACCUAAAAGCUA
Molecule: unclassified non-coding RNA, 238 nt
Filed under: Hevea brasiliensis (rubber tree)
Lineage: Eukaryota; Viridiplantae; Streptophyta; Magnoliopsida; Malpighiales; Euphorbiaceae
Source: RNAcentral